AUGUGGUUCCCUGAUGGUUAGUG
Molecule: non-coding RNA, 23 nt
Filed under: Rattus norvegicus (Norway rat)
Lineage: Eukaryota; Metazoa; Chordata; Mammalia; Rodentia; Muridae
Source: RNAcentral